CCUACGGGGGGCUGCAGUGGGGAAUAUUGCGCAAUGGACGAAAGUCUGACGCAGCGACGCCGUGUGAGCGAAGAAGUCUUUCGGGAUGUAAAGCUCUGUCAAAUGGGACGAUAAUGACGGUACCAUUAGAGGAAGCCCCGGCUAACUACGUGCCAGCAGCCGCGGUAAUACGUAGGGGGCGAGCGUUAUCCGGAUUUACUGGGCAUAAAGAGCGUGUAGGUGGUUUCUUAAGUCAGGUGUUAAAUCUCUCGGCUCAACCGAGAUCCGCACUUGAUACUGGGAUUCUAGAGAUUAGGAGAGGAAAGCGGAACUCAUGGUGUAGCGGUGAAAUGCGUAGAUAUCAUGAGGAACACCAGUUGCGAAGGCGGCUUUCUGGCCUAAAUCUGACACUGUGGCGCGAAAGCGUGGGGAGCAAACGGGAUUAGAUACCCCUGUAGUC
RNAcentral lists this ribosomal RNA (439 nucleotides) under uncultured bacterium. Its description in RNAcentral is "bacterial SSU rRNA". It matches the Rfam family "Bacterial small subunit ribosomal RNA", at positions 338 to 795 of the family's 1533-position model. The record is from RNAcentral.